GACGUAGGGCGCGAGCGUUGUCCGGAUUUAUUGGGCGUAAAGAGCGUGUAGGCGGCUAGGUAGGUCCGCUGUGAAAACUCGAGGCUCAACCUCGAGAGGUCGGUGGAAACCAUCUGGCUAGAGUCCGGAAGAGGAGAGUGGAAUUCCUGGUGUAGCGGUGAAAUGCGCAGAUAUCAGGAAGAACACCCGUGGCGAAGGCGGCUCUCUGGGACGGUACUGACGCUGAGACGCGAAAGCGUGGGGAGCGAACAGGG
This 254-nucleotide ribosomal RNA is filed under the name uncultured bacterium. Its description in RNAcentral is "partial 16S ribosomal RNA". It matches the Rfam family "Bacterial small subunit ribosomal RNA", at positions 524 to 777 of the family's 1533-position model. The record is from RNAcentral.